AACGCGAAGAACCUUACCCAGACUUGACAUGUAAUAGACCGAUCUAGAAAUAGGUCUUUCCUUCGGGACUGUUACACAGGUGCUGCAUGGCUGUCGUCAGCUCGUGCCGUGAGGUGUUGGGUUAAGUCCCGCAACGAGCGCAACCCUUAUCAUUAGUUGCCAACAUUUAAGGUGGGAACUCUAAUGAGACUGCCUGGGUUAACCAGGAGGAAGGUGAGGAUGACGUCAAGUCCGCAUGGCCCUUAUGUCUGGGGCUACACACGUGCUACAAUGGUCGGUACAGAAGGCAGCGAAGCCGCGAGGUGGAGCAAAUCCAAAAAACCGGCCUCAGUUCAGAUUGUAGUCUGCAACUCGACUACAUGAAGACGGAAUUGCUAGUAAUGGCGAGUCAGCAACAUCGCCGUGAAUACGUUCCCGGGCCUUGUACACACCGACGCGUA
Molecule: ribosomal RNA, 440 nt
Filed under: uncultured bacterium
Lineage: Bacteria
Description: bacterial SSU rRNA
Rfam family: Bacterial small subunit ribosomal RNA
Source: RNAcentral